AUGUCGGGAGUCCUUGAUGUCCUGCAAAUGAAGGAGGAGGAUGCCCUCUAGUUCCUAGUAGCUGGAACCUGCUAGGUGGCACCAACCCUUCCAAAUGGAACAGUAUAUCUAUAAAAGGAAAACUGAUGGCAUCUACAUCCUAAAUCUGAAGAGGACCUGGGAGAAGCUUCUGCUGACAGCUUAUGCCAUUGUUGCCCUUGAAAACCCUGCUGAUGUCAAUGUCAGGUCGUCCAGGAAUCCUGGCCAGUGGGCUGUGCUGAAGUUCGCUGCUGCCACUGGAGCUACUCCUAUUGCUGGUCACUUCACUACUGAAAUCCUCACUAACCAGAUCCAGGCAGCCUUCUGGAAGCCACGGCUUCUGGUUACUGAUCUCAGGGCUGACCAUCAGCCUCUCACAGAAGCAUCUUGUGUUAACCUGACUAUCAUUACUCUAUGAAGCACAUAUUCUUCUCUGUGCUGUGUGGACAUUUUCAUUCCAUGCAGCAAAAAUGUAGCUCACUUAGUGGGUUUGAUGUGGUGGAUGCUG
Molecule: long non-coding RNA, 526 nt
Filed under: Homo sapiens (human)
Lineage: Eukaryota; Metazoa; Chordata; Mammalia; Primates; Hominidae
Description: non-protein coding lnc-IL5RA-14:1
Source: RNAcentral